This 425-nucleotide ribosomal RNA is filed under the name uncultured bacterium. Its description in RNAcentral is "partial 16S ribosomal RNA". It matches the Rfam family "Bacterial small subunit ribosomal RNA", at positions 354 to 796 of the family's 1533-position model. The record is from RNAcentral.
GUGGGGAAUCUUGCGCAAUGGGCGAAAGCCUGACGCAGCCAUGCCGCGUGAAUGAUGAAGGUCUUAGGAUUGUAAAAUUCUUUCACCGGGGACGAUAAUGACGGUACCCGGAGAAGAAGCUCCGGCUAACUUCGUGCCAGCAGCCGCGGUAAUACGAAGGGGGCUAGCGUUGCUCGGAAUUACUGGGCGUAAAGGGCGCGUAGGCGGACAGCGUAGUCAGAGGUGAAAGCCCAGGGCUCAACCUUGGAAUUGCCUUUGAUACUGGCUGUCUUGAGUUUGGGAGAGGUGAGUGGAACUCCGAGUGUAGAGGUGAAAUUCGUAGAUAUUCGGAAGAACACCAGUGGCGAAGGCGACUCACUGGCCCAAUACUGACGCUGAGGCGCGAAAGCGUGGGGAGCAAACAGGAUUAGAUACCCGAGUAGUCC